ACUAUCUUAGGAGCCACUGGUUCCUGGAAGAGUUAUACUUAUUAUUGUAAAGCCUUUCUUUCUCUGAUUGGCCCUAUCUAUAGAUCCCUGUUCUGCUAAGCACCUGUCUGCUUUAGGUUCUGAAUUCACCCUAACUGAAAAUUAUCUAUCUCAAUGUCUUAAUAAGUAUCAAGGGAUUAUACUCCUUUUUUCCAUAGCCAGACAUAUUUAUACUUAUUUUAACAGAACUGUAUUGAACAUCUAUUAGGUAUAAAGAGAGCUUGCUAAAUAUAAAUGUUAGCUGCAAGCUUGAUAGCUUGUCUCUAUCCACUGAUAGAGACAGACAUGAAGAGUGCUAGCAUAAAGGAAUAAACCAAAUUUCAAGACAGAGAGAAUCAGACUGAGUGUGGACUGAGAAUGAAGUUGUUGACCUAAAGCCAGCCCUUACCUGGAUUAUUGCAAAAACUACGCAAGUGGUCUCCCGGCUUUGCUAUUAUUCUCUAGAGUCCAUUUUCCACUCCUCAGCCAGAGUUAUCCUUUUAAAAUGUAAGUUAGAUUAUGUCAGUUCUGUCAAAAGCACUCUGAGAGCUUUCCAUCUUAUUCAGAGAAACAUCCAAAGUCUUUGUGAUGACCUAAAAAACUCCUUACCUUGCUGAUUUCCUCUCCUACUAGCCUCCCCUUCACUCACUGUGCUCUUGGUCUUUUGGAUUUGUUACUGAGGUUCCUCAAACGAAGCACUAUGAUUUGAAUGCAUGUGUUUCUCCAAAAUUAAUGUGCUGGAACUUAAACCCUGAUAUGAUAGUAUUAAGAGGUGGGGUCUUUAGCAGCUGAUUAAGUCAUGAGGGCUCUGCCCUCAUGAAUGAGAUUAGUGCCCUUAUAUGAGGACCAGAGAGGAUUAGCUAGGCCCCUUUGCCCUUCUGUCCAUCCUACCAUGUAAGACACAGCUGUCUUUCCCUCAGGAGGAUGCAGCAACAAGGCACCAUCUUAGGAGCAGAGACCAGACCCUCACCAGACACUGAACCUGCCAAAACCUUGAUCUCGGACCUCCCAGACUCCAGCACUGCAAGAAGGGAUGUACCCAGGUUGACUCCUUUUCAUACUACAGAAGAAAAGAACCACUCAGCACAACUGCCAGUUCUCUUCAUUUGAGGAGGCAUUUUGUUCUGGGGCACCUCAUCUGAAAAGAUGUUAAAACUAGAGAGAGCCAGGUAUUUACACAGGAAAAAUAAGUCCUUAAUAUAUACUAUAUAAAAUAAAAUACUCAUGGAACAUUACUUCCCUGCAAGAGCUACUAUUGCAGCCUGGAUUCCUGUGAAUGUGCUUCACCAGUUCUCUUUAGACUCAGCAAGACCCUGAUCACAUGCUGAUCACACACACAGAGCCAGAUUCACACAAUUAAAGCUGUGAUUUGCUUUUGCUAGCAUCAGAACUUGGUAAGUCAAUGGUAGCAUUCGUUAAUGUAGUAUUUUAUAAGCAACAGUGAAUUACCCACAGUUA
Molecule: long non-coding RNA, 1476 nt
Filed under: Papio anubis (olive baboon)
Lineage: Eukaryota; Metazoa; Chordata; Mammalia; Primates; Cercopithecidae
Description: lncRNA (ENSPANG00000046868.1)
Source: RNAcentral